This 492-nucleotide ribosomal RNA is filed under the name uncultured bacterium. Its description in RNAcentral is "partial 16S ribosomal RNA". It matches the Rfam family "Bacterial small subunit ribosomal RNA", at positions 29 to 507 of the family's 1533-position model. The record is from RNAcentral.
AGUGAACGCUGGCGGUAGGCCUAACACAUGCAAGUCGAACGGCAGCACAGUAAGAGCUUGCUCUUACGGGUGGCGAGUGGCGGACGGGUGAGGAAUACAUCGGAAUCUACUUUUUCGUGGGGGAUAACGUAGGGAAACUUACGCUAAUACCGCAUACGACCUACGGGUGAAAGCAGGGGAUCUUCGGACCUUGCGCGAUUGAAUGAGCGGAUGUCGGAUUAGCUAGUUGGCGGGGUAAAGGCCCACCAAGGCGACGAUCCGUAGCUGGUCUGAGAGGAUGAUCAGCCACACUGGAACUGAGACACGGUCCAGACUCCUACGGGAGGCAGCAGUGGGGAAUAUUGGACAAUGGGCGCAAGCCUGAUCCAGCCAGACCGCGUGGGUGAAGAAGGCCUUCGGGUUGUAAAGCCCUUUUGUUGGGAAAGAAAAGCAGCAGGUUAAUACCCCGCUGUUCUGACGGUACCCAAAGAAUAAGCACCGGCUAACUUCGUG